CACACUGCCGAGAAAAGCCUCUAGAUAGAAAAUAGGUGCCCGUACCGCAAACCGACACAGGUAGUCAAGAUGAGAAUUCUAAGGUGAGCGAGCGAACUCUCGUUAAGGAACUCGGCAAAAUGACCCCGUAACUUCGGGAGAAGGGGUGCUCUUUAGGGUUAACGCCCAGAAGAGCCGCAGUGAAUAGGCCCAAGCGACUGUUUAUCAAAAACACAGGUCUCUGCUAAACCGUAAGGUGAUGUAUAGGGGCUGACGCCUGCCCGGUGCUGGAAGGUUAAGAGGAGUGGUUAGCUUCUGCGAAGCUACGAAUCGAAGCCCCAGUAAACGGCGGCCGUAACUAUAACGGUCCUAAGGUAGCGAAAUUCCUUGUCGGGUAAGUUCCGACCCGCACGAAAGGCGUAACGAUUUGGGCACUGUCUCAACGAGAGACUCGGUGAAAUCAUAGUACCUGUGAAGAUGCAGGUUACCCGCGACAGGACGGA
RNAcentral lists this ribosomal RNA (482 nucleotides) under Staphylococcus aureus. RNAcentral describes it as "partial 23S ribosomal RNA". It matches the Rfam family "Bacterial large subunit ribosomal RNA", at positions 1601 to 2084 of the family's 2925-position model. Lineage: Bacteria; Bacillati; Bacillota; Bacilli; Caryophanales; Staphylococcaceae. The record is from RNAcentral.